CGCGUAGGCGGAUGGCACAGUCAGAUGUGAAAUUCCUGGGCUUAACCUGGGGGCUGCAUUUGAUACGUGUUGUCUAGAGUGAGGAAGAGGGUCGUGGAAUUCCCAGUGUAGAGGUGAAAUUCGUAGAUAUUGGGAAGAACACCGGUGGCGAAGGCGGCGACCUGGUCCUUGACUGACGCUGAGGCGCGAAAGCGUGGGGAGCAAACAGGAUUAGAUACCCUGGUAGUCCACGCUGUAAACGAUGUGUGCUGGAUGUUGGGUGACCUAGUCGCUCAGUGUCGUAGCUAACGCGAUAAGCACACCGCCUGGGGAGUACGGCCGCAAAGGUUGAAA
RNAcentral lists this ribosomal RNA (333 nucleotides) under uncultured bacterium. RNAcentral describes it as "bacterial SSU rRNA". It matches the Rfam family "Bacterial small subunit ribosomal RNA", at positions 568 to 899 of the family's 1533-position model. The record is from RNAcentral.